CCUUAACCUCUGCGUGUUUAUUUUCCCUGUUUCACGGUGUCCGGGGGAAUCCCCUGCCCACAGGGCGAGGCUGAGGGUGGGGUCAGGGCGGCUCCCUUGGGGGCUCCGGCGGGGAGUCCCAGGUGGGCAGGGUAUCCAGGGGAGGACAGGAGGGAAAUGGUCCGAGUCCUGAGUCUGUGGGAACUGGAACGGGAGGGGUGGCCGCCGGGCUCCCGCCUGGACGAGGGUGGCUCAGGGACACCGGCCGGCCACUGCUCACCCUCCUCUCUCCCCUGCACGCGGUUCGUCUCAGGCAGAGCCCCCACACAACUGGGCCCGCAGGACGCGGACCCCUUGAGUCCUGCCGCAGAUGAGGAAACACCCGGUGGGGGUGAUGGUUCCCUAAGGGACCCCAGGGGUGCAGGUGCAGAAGCCCUACGGCAGAUCGUGGGCUGGACCCUGGAGUGCGCCCCAGAUGCUGACGGGGCUCCAGACGGCAGGACGGACGCCCAGGGAGGCUGCAGUGGUCCAGCCGCCUCACCCGUGCAGCCUGGAGACUGGACAGGUCUUCCCGGCCCCAGGACAGGGCAUGGAGGGCCCCCCCCCCGGCCUGCUCGGCCAAGAGUGAAGGACAGAAACCCCGGGGCCCUGACGAAUAAAAAGUGGACGCUGGAGAAGAUUGGGGGGAACAUUUAAAAGUGGGGAGCCACUCUGCGUCCUUCCCCAUGAAACUUGGCGGCUUCCCUGAUGGACACCAGGUGAUUCAAACAACCAGAAAGCUCCCUAUUUUCUGAAACAGAAGGUGCGUUUCUGGGUGGGGGCCCUAUCCUCCCAGGCCCCCCUCGUACCCGCU
Molecule: long non-coding RNA, 832 nt
Organism: Molossus molossus (Pallas's mastiff bat)
Lineage: Eukaryota; Metazoa; Chordata; Mammalia; Chiroptera; Molossidae
Exons: 3
Source: RefSeq, a predicted model, not a curated record